UCUCCUGCCUCAGCCUUCUGAGUAGCUGGGAUUACAGUCGUGUGCCACCACGCCCAGCUAGUUUUUGUAUUUUUAGUAGAGACGGGGUUUUGCCAUGUUGGCCAGGCUGGUGCUUUCAUUAAUUCUUGUUUAUUUUUUAUUAUUUUUUUUUUCUGGUUAAAAAUAGGUCUUGGUGACCUUUGGAAGUGACCUUGAAGGGGAAAAAUUCGCUGAAGGGCUACGUAUAGCCUGAACUGAAGGUUGAGCCUGGUGGCUAAUGCCUGUAAUCCUAGCACUUUGGGAAGCUGAGAUGGGAAGACUGCUUGAGCCCAGGAGUUCUGUGCUGCAGAAGGCCAUGAUCCCACCACUGCACUUCAGUAGGAACAGAGCGAGAACUUGUCUCUAAUAAUAAAAAAAAAAAGUACACAUUAAACCAAAAUGAAAGUAUGAAUUGAUACCAUCAUUGCUUGGCCACUUUCUGGCAGACUGGAUUUGAAGGCUGUGAGUCAGUCAUUAAGGCACAUGAAGAAAUUAAUGAAGACCAUCCAGUGGAAAUUCAUGAAUAUUUGUCAAUGCUUGAGAAUUACACUGGUGCUGUGGAUAAUAUGCUAAAGACCAUGAUGUCUGUUUCUUGAAAUGAGUUGUUGCAGAAGUUGGACCCACUUAAACAAGUGAAAGUGGAUUUAGUUUCUAUGUACACAUUAAAUUUAAAGUUUUGAGUUUAUUUGGCAACUCAAGGAGUUAAUACUAAGAAACAGCUAGUAAAGCAGGAAG
RNAcentral lists this long non-coding RNA (753 nucleotides) under Homo sapiens (human). RNAcentral's name for it is "HSALNT0179137". The record is from RNAcentral. Lineage: Eukaryota; Metazoa; Chordata; Mammalia; Primates; Hominidae.